UAAGGAAUAUUGGUCAAUGGACGCAAGUCUGAACCAGCCAUGCCGCGUGAAGGAUUAAGGUCCUCUGGAUUGUAAACUUCUUUUAUAGGGGGCGAAACACUCUUUUUCUAGAGAGCUUGACAGUACCCUAUGAAUAAGCACCGGCUAACUCCGUGCCAGCAGCCGCGGUAAUACGGAGGGUGCAAGCGUUAUCCGGAUUUACUGGGUUUAAAGGGUGCGUAGGCGGAUUUGUAAGUCUGAGGUGAAAUCUCCGAGCUUAACUCGGAAACUGCCUUGGAUACUAUAAGUCUUGAAUGUCGUUGAGGUUAGCGGAAUAUGUCAUGUAGCGGUGAAAUGCUUAGAUAUGACAUAGAACACCUAUUGCGAAGGCAGCUGACUAAGCGAAUAUUGACGCUGAUGCACGAAAGCGUGGGGAUCAAACAGG
Molecule: ribosomal RNA, 424 nt
Filed under: uncultured bacterium
Lineage: Bacteria
Description: bacterial SSU rRNA
Rfam family: Bacterial small subunit ribosomal RNA
Source: RNAcentral